This 1638-nucleotide long non-coding RNA is filed under the name Pan troglodytes (chimpanzee). Its description in RNAcentral is "long non-coding RNA NONPTRT014852". The record is from RNAcentral. Lineage: Eukaryota; Metazoa; Chordata; Mammalia; Primates; Hominidae.
GCGAGUCGGCCUCGGCGCUGAUCAGCACCAGGUUCCCUCUGUGUGCCGGGCAGUAUGCCAGUUAAUUCAAGUGCAUGUCAGACCCAGAGGGUGACAUCCUGUGACUCAGAUGCUGGGGCCCUCAUGAUGCCUGGUAAGGAUGAACCGUUGUCCACAUUCUCUUCUCUGAGUCAAAGAGGAGGAAGAUCUGUCCAUCGAAACUGAACUGCCAAGAUCCGCUGCUGUGUCCUUCGGCUUUCUGCUCACAAGACAUCCUUGCCUGCAGGGUGAGGGGUUCUGCCCCCAUCAGAGAGAGAUCAGCUCUGGCCUUGACAGAUAUUGAGCCCCCAUCCUCUUCCACUUGCAAUUUCCUGGUCUUACUUGCUCUGCCACAUCCUGGCCUUGCCUCUAGACGUCUUGCGGGGUUGCCAUUGCCUGCUGUUGCUCUACAAAGGGACAGGACUGGACACUGAGACGGAGAACCCACGGCCUGCAAAGAUCACAGGGCAUCCUUCCUCCCUUUCUAGAAAGGGUUUGCUGACCCCUGUCUACACACUGACUAUUCUCUAUGACGCUGGCGCCCCAGUAGGAACAACAGGCAGGUCUGGGCCCCAAGGGCAGAAGUGGGUGCCUCUACUCACCAGAGUUCCCAGGGUCAUCCUGGAGGAAAUGGUGCUUCCCAUGCCCCCUGCACAGGUUCUGUGGGGAGCUUGGGGUGUGUUUGCUGGGGUGUGUCCUCAGGCAAGAGGCAGAAGGUGUCACGUGGUGUAAGAGGUCGCGAGGGCCCCUUCAUGGAUGGGGAGACCUCUGGGGUGACCAGCUGGGCUGAGGUGGGGAGUAAGAGGAUGUUACCUGGGUGGUGGCAGUGGAUGGUGAGGGGAGGGUGGGAAGUGUCUGCUGAGCCGCUGGGUGCAGGUGAGUGUCUACAGGAAAGUGCAGGGAAAAAUUAAAGGGCACGCAGCCCUGGGGGUGCUGGAGGGUUUGUGUGGUUGAGAGCGGGUGAGAACAGAGCAGGCUGGUGGCUGGUGGGAGUGUCUGUGAUUGUGUCCCUGUGCAACCCCACUUCACCCCUGUCCUGACCCCAGCUCGGGUUCUGGGGGCUCUGGUUUCUCCUUCCCGAGGGCGGGUGGGACUGCCGGGCUGCACUAGGGAUCCCCGCUCCACGUCGCCCUCUGCAGCCCUCUGGCCCCUCCACUCUCUGGGGGUUCCUUUCCAGCCUCCUCUCUGACCAGCUCCUCCCCUCGGAGGAUAAGUAGCCUCCGGGAGCGGAUCCGGCGGGAAGGAGACGCGGAGGGAAACUGAGCGGGGGCGCAGUCCGGGGUGAUCGCACGGGUCCUUCCAGAAGCCUCCCCUCCUCUGAAGCCCGCAGUCCACAGCCCCCCACGGUUGGCCUCCGCCCCGCUUAGGCUCCAUCCCCGAACUCACCGGCCAGCCCGGUCCUGCACCAGCUGGACAGCAGGAGCAGAAGCGGGAGGCGUAGAAGGAACGCGGGGCUGGCGGCCGCUGCCAUUGGGGAGUUGGAUCGCAGGGGACAGCAGAAGCGAAGCCCAGCCCGUGGAUCACCUGGCGGCUCGCAGGCUGUCUGAAUGCAGCCCUAACCUACAGUAAGCCCUAAACUCUAGCACUCCUUCUGCCCCGCCCCUCGGAGGAAACACACCC